GACGGAGGAUGCAAGCGUUAUCCGGAAUGAUUGGGCGUAAAGCGUCCGCAGGUGGCAGUUCAAGUCUGCUGUCAAAGACCGGGGCUUAACUUCGGAAAGGCAGUGGAAACUGAACAGCUAGAGUAUGGUAGGGGCAGAGGGAAUUCCUGGUGUAGCGGUGAAAUGCGUAGAGAUCAGGCGGAACACCCGUGGCGAAGGCGGCCAGCUGGGCCGUCCCUGACGCUGAGGCGCGAAGGCGUGGGGAGCGAACGGG
Molecule: ribosomal RNA, 253 nt
Filed under: uncultured bacterium
Lineage: Bacteria
Description: partial 16S ribosomal RNA
Rfam family: Bacterial small subunit ribosomal RNA
Source: RNAcentral